Molecule: ribosomal RNA, 1723 nt
Filed under: bacterium
Lineage: Bacteria
Description: bacterial SSU rRNA
Rfam family: Bacterial small subunit ribosomal RNA
Source: RNAcentral
UUUUUUGAGAGUUUGAUCCUAGCUCAGGAUGAACGCUGGCGGCGUGGAUACCGGCAUGCAAGUCAUACGGUCCCGACGGAUCCCGCAAGGGGCUCGUCGGGAUAGUGGCGAACGGCUUAGUAACACGUAGAUACAUACCGCCGAGAUGGGGAUAAUCCCGCGAAAGCGGGACUAAUACCCAAUGGUCCCUGAAGCCGCAAGGCUGAAGGGUAAAGGUAUUCGCAAGAAUACUGCUCGGUGAAUGGUCUGCGGCCUAUCAGCUAGUUGGUGAGGUAAUGGCCCACCAAGGCUAUGACGGGUAGGGGGCGUGAGAGCGCGUCCCCCAAGAAUGGCACUGCGACACGGGCCAUACUCCUACGGGAGGCUGCAGUCGAGAAUCUUCGACAAUGGGCGAAAGCCUGAUCGAGCGACGCCGCGUGCAGGAUGAAGGCCUUCGGGCUGUAAACUGCUUUUCAUCGGGAGAAAGUCCGCCUUUGGCGGAUUGAUUGUACCGGUGGAAUAAGAGGUUGCUAACUCUGUGAACCCAUUAAGGGUUGGUGCAGAGCUUCUCCAGUAAUGGAGAAUAGGAAAACUUAGCUUAUAUGCUGGGACAUCUUUCGUUGUCCGCUGAAUGUUUCCAAAAGGAACGCAACGAAAGACAAUCAGCAGGGAAGUUGUUAUAAUUUUUAUUAUAAUUAACCCCUCAGAGACUUGUUUCAUUAUUGAAACAGAUGGAUGUUUUUGAACAUUCAUAAUACGCUAAGCUCCUCGCAAGAGGAUGAUGAUAUAGUCCAUUUAACUAUCGAGUUAGAUAGCCAGCAGCAGCGGUAAUACAGAGACCUCGAGCGUUAUCCGGAUUUAUUGGGCGUAAAGGGUCCGUAGGUUGUAAAGAUAGUCUUUGGUUAAAUCCCCUCGGCUUAACCUUGGGGCUGCUAAAGAUACUUCUUUACUUAGAGGACGUUAGGGGCUGACGGAACGUACGGUGUAGGGGUGAAAUCCGUUGAUAUCGUAUGGAACACCAAAAGCGAAGGCAGUCAGCUGGGACGGUCCUGACACUGAGGGACGAAAGCGUGGGUAGCGACAAGGAUUAGAUACCCUUUUAGUCCACGCUGUAAACUAUGGACACUGGCUAUUUGAAGUGUCGACCCUUCAAGUGGCGAAGCUAACGCGUUAAGUGUCCCGCCUGGGAAGUACGGUCGCAAGACUAAAACUCAAAGGAAUAGACGGGGAUUCACACAAGCGGUGGAUCAUGUGGCUUAAUUCGACAACAAACGAGGAACCUUACCAGGGUUAGACACUCCGAUGAAAGUCCCGAGAAAUCGGGAUUCUCUCACAAGGACAUCGGGGCAGGUGCUGCACGGUCGUCGUCAGCAUGUAUCUUGAGACGCACCCUUAAAUGGGGUAACAUGCGCAACCCCUAUUCUGUGUUUUAUUUGUCACAGGAGACUGCCUAGGAUGACUAGGAGGAAGGUGGGGAUAACGCCAGAUCAGCGUGGCCCUUUGACACCCUGGGCCGCACACAUGAUACAAUGGGGCCGACAAUGCGUUGCGAAGGCGCAAGCCGGAGCUAACCGCAUCAAACGGUCCCCCAGUUCGGAUUGAGGUCUGCAACUCGACCUCAUGAAGCCGGAAUCGCUAGUAAUCGCCAAUCAGCUAUGUGGCGAUGAAUACGUUCCUGAAUCUUGUACUCACCGCCAAAUAAACGUGCCCGGCGGUUUAUUCUACUAACAGGUUAAAAUCCUGU